GACGAACGCUGGCGGCGUGCUUAACACAUGCAAGUCGAACGGAAAGGCCCUGCUUUUGUGGGGUGCUCGAGUGGCGAACGGGUGAGUAACACGUGAGUAACCUGCCCUUGACUUUGGGAUAACUUCAGGAAACUGGGGCUAAUACCGGAUAGGAGCUCCUGCUGCAUGGUGGGGGUUGGAAAGUUUCGGCGGUUGGGGAUGGACUCGCGGCUUAUCAGCUUGUUGGUGGGGUAGUGGCUUACCAAGGCUUUGACGGGUAGCCGGCCUGAGAGGGUGACCGGCCACAUUGGGACUGAGAUACGGCGCAGACUCCUACGGGAGGCAGCAGUGGGGAAUAUUGCCCAAUGGGCGGAAGCCUGAUGCAGCAACGCCGCGUGCGGGAUGACGGCCUUCGGGUUGUAAACCGCUUUCGCCUGUGACGAAGCGUGAGUGACGGUAAUGGGUAAAGAAGCACCGGCUAACUACGUG
Molecule: ribosomal RNA, 468 nt
Filed under: uncultured bacterium
Lineage: Bacteria
Description: partial 16S ribosomal RNA
Rfam family: Bacterial small subunit ribosomal RNA
Source: RNAcentral